UAUUUGGAAUCUGGGCCUAAAAGUUUUUUCGGUUGUCUUCUUCAUUCAGAGUUAUGGACCUGAAGAUUGGAAGUGACCUGGCAAGGGAGAAGAAGGACAAGCAAGAGUGAAAGAGUAGCAAACCCUGAAGUGGUUCCAAGGGUUUACCUCGUGACCACAGAGACCCAUCUCUGCCAGAGAGGAACAAGCAUGCAGAGAAGAAUUCAAUAGCCUGGGUUGUUCCUGGGAUUGGUGAGCUUUAAAAUCUCCUGUGAUGUCAAGAAGAGGAAAGCCUUCACAUCCCAGGUUUGGCCAUCACAUCCCCGAAUUCAGCUGCAUUGGCUGAAUGUUAAAUGGUUUAUGCCCAGCUAGUGGGAAGGUGAAUAAUACGUAAAGGAGCUGGGAUCUACACAUACGUUGGAUGACACAGACAUUGUACUUCAGAGUCUCGAAGCAUUUUGGAGCAUCUGGGCUCACUCCUGGCAUCUCGGAUCUAUUGCCCUGCAGUCCCCUCCGGGCACUGGAGCAGCGUCACGGUACAGACAAGUAGAGC
This 532-nucleotide long non-coding RNA is filed under the name Sus scrofa (pig). RNAcentral's name for it is "lncRNA (ENSSSCG00070023437.1)". The record is from RNAcentral. Lineage: Eukaryota; Metazoa; Chordata; Mammalia; Artiodactyla; Suidae.